Molecule: RNA transcript, 2916 nt
Organism: Panicum virgatum (switchgrass)
Lineage: Eukaryota; Viridiplantae; Streptophyta; Magnoliopsida; Poales; Poaceae
Exons: 5
Source: RefSeq, a predicted model, not a curated record
CCUCCCUAUUUAUUCCGGAGCUCCACUUCUCUCUCCUCCCGUGCAUCGGCGCCCCAACCCCAAGCCCGUGUCCUCUCCCUGAGCGCCUCAAAUCCAACCCCACCUCGCCGCCGUCGCUCCCCGCUCCUCCCGGGCCGAGGCUGAGGUUUCUUCCCCCCGCCUAUUCGGUUCCGGAACAGCGUUUUCAAGUGUGCUGGUUGGCUUAGUACUGGUCGUCGAUUUCUGACCGCCGAUGGUGGCCAGGAUGAUGCGGUGGCCGCGGCCGCCGGCGGCGCGCAAGUUCCGCGUGCGCCUGGUGGUGCGGCGGGCGGAGGGGCUGCCACUGCCGCCGCCCGCGGCCGCGGCCGCGGCCGAGCCGGCCUCGCCGGAGCGGGAGGCGGCGGGCGCCGCGCCGCCAAGGGCCGUCGCGGCGGAGGUGAGGUGGAAGGGCCCCAGGGCGUCGGCGCUGGGCUCGCUGCGGCGCGCCGCGGUCAGGCGCAACCGCACGCGGGGGGAGCCGGAGGCGGCGUGGGAGGAGGAGUUCGAGAGUCUCGUCACGCUCGCGGCCGCGUCCCAGCGGGAGGGCGCCGCGUUCCAGCCCUGGGAGCUCGCCUUCUGCGUCUUCAGCGACAUCAACAUAGGGCCGAAGAAUAAACCAUCAAUUCUGGGAACUGCUUCUCUCAAUCUAGCAGACUAUGCAUCAGUAGCUGAGGAGGUGAUCAAGAUAAUUCUCCCAUUGUCUGUACCUGGUGGUGAACCUGAAUCAGCCCCAUCCCUUCAUCUCAUUCUGAGCAUGGUGGAACUAAGAGCAGUUCAAGAAACAUCAGAUGCAUCACAGCGACCAGCUGCAACCUUGCCAUUGUCUCCAUCAUCUGGUGAUUCACUUCCUGGAGGAAAAGAUGAGGUUUCAGUUAUCAAAGCAGGGCUGAGGAAGGUAAAAAUUCUCACAGAUCUGGUGGCGACACGGAGGUCCAAGAAGAGUUGCCAAGAUGAUGAAGGAGGCGAAGAUAAUUUCUGUGUUAACAGUGAUGGUGCUGAAUAUCCAUGUGAUACUGAGUCUCUCGACGAUGAACUGGAUGAUAGAGUACAGGAAGAUGAAAUUGGGGAUUCAACUAUCAGGAAGUCUUUCAGUUAUGGCUCACUGCAGUCUGUCAACUAUGUUGGUGGCCUAGUUUAUGCCCAUGCAAAGAUUGAUGGGGUGCAUGAGGACUGGAUAUAUUAUAGUCACCGAAAAUCUGAUGUCGGUUAUCAAGUAGAGAAAAUGUUGCCCUCGACCUCUGAGGAGACUGUGUUGCCAACUGCUAAACGGAGUAUACUUCCUUGGAGGAAGAGGAAAAUGAGUUUAAGAUCACUGAAAGCUAAAGGUGAACCUCUGUUGAAGAAGGCAUAUGGGGAAGAGGGAGGUGAUGAUAUUGACUACGAUCGACGCCUGCUAACAUCAUCUGAUGAAUCUGUUUCAGAGGGAUCAAGAGCUGAAGAUGGAGCAGCAAAUGGUAUGGUGUCAGAAUUUGGUGAUGAUAAUUUUGUUGUGGGGAAUUGGGAGUUCAAGGAGAUAGUUAGCCGUGAUGGCCAUAUGAAGCUUUCGUCCCAGGUGUUCUUUGCAUCAAUAGACCAGAGAAGUGAGCGAGCAGCUGGGGAGAGCGCAUGCACAGCACUUGUGGCUGUUAUUGCAGACUGGUUCCAAGCAAAUCAGAAUAUGAUGCCUAUUCAGUCACAGUUUGACAGCCUUAUCCGUGAAGGAUCACUGGAGUGGAGAAACCUUUGUGAUAAUGAGGCAUAUAAAGAGCGCUUUCCUGACAAGCACUUUGAUCUUGAAACUGUCCUUCAUGCCAAGAUUCGCCCACUGACAGUCUCCCCAAGCAAAUCAUUUAUUGGAUUCUUCCAGCCCGAAGGUGAUGACGACGACAUGAGCGGUUUUGACUUUCUUAAUGGGGCCAUGUCAUUUGACAGCAUUUGGGAUGAGAUUACCCAGGCGACAGAGUUCUCAUCUAGUGAUAACCCUAACCUAUACAUUGUGAGUUGGAAUGACCACUUUUUCCUCCUCAAGGUUGAGCGUAAUGUAUAUUACAUUAUCGAUACCCUUGGAGAAAGGCUCCAUGAAGGGUGCAACCAGGCAUACAUUUUGAAGUUUGACAACAGUACCACAAUUCACAAGGUUCAGGCUGAAAAGAAACCUUCCAGCCCCGACUCAAGUGGACCAUUGAAGGAUUCUUCAGGUCCUGAGAGCUCUUCAACUGACCAGGACAGUGGGGAUGAUAUUGAAGAGAACAUCCUUGUGUCGAAGGGCAAAGAAUCAUGCAAAGAAUACAUCAAGAGUUUCUUGGCAGCCAUACCGAUCCGGGAACUACAGGUGGACAUCAAGAAAGGACUGAUGGCAUCAACCCCGUUGCAUCACCGCCUCCAGAUUGAGUUCCACUACACCCAAUCUUCCCCAAAAGAGAUUGCAGCAGCCCCUCAGCUUCUUACUGUCAAUGCCCCUUUUGAGUUCUCAUGGCCUGAGGCACAGCCAUCACCAACAAUGGAAGUAGCACUAACACCUGUCGUCUCCGUUGUAUAGCUUGUCGUAUGGGUGGCUGAGACAUGAGAACAGUUUGCCCUGAUGUUCAAAAUCAAGAGCCUCUUUUUCCUUGGGCUGCGGCAUGACGUGGGAACUAGAUGAAGACUUAGUUUGUUUUCUAUUUGUACUGAUUUAUCUAAUAUGAACUGACUGAUAUAGGUUGUCCUCCCACGCAUAGCCGCAUAGGAGCCAUCCACCUGAAUUUUGUAUAGAGGUGUAUGCUCGUAUCUUCCCUCAUCUGCUGGGCUGUAAUCAUUUGGAACCUUGUAUGAGUAAUCAAUGACGAACGCCCCUGUGUUAUAGUGAACUACAGUGUAAUAUGCUAAUAUCUUCCAGCAAGCAUCAAACUGGAAUUAUGAAUCUGCUAGUUGGAAGCAGCA